Non-coding RNA from Pelobates cultripes (western spadefoot toad), 212 nucleotides. NCBI's taxonomy places the organism in Eukaryota, Metazoa, Chordata, Amphibia, Anura, Pelobatidae. The record is from the annotation of a GenBank genome assembly.
CCACUGGUUUCAGCACAUCACACAGAUGCUUAAUCGGAUUGAGAUCUGGGAUAUUUGGAAGCCAAGGCAAAACCUUGAACUCUGUUAUAUUCCUCAAACAACUCCUGAACAUUUUUUGCACUGUGGCAGGGUGCAUUAUACUGAUGAAAGAGGCCACUGCUGUCAGGGAACACCAUUGUCAUGAAGGGGUGUAGGUGAUCUGUAUCAGUCAC